Molecule: long non-coding RNA, 2181 nt
Filed under: Olea europaea (common olive)
Lineage: Eukaryota; Viridiplantae; Streptophyta; Magnoliopsida; Lamiales; Oleaceae
Description: long non-coding RNA (OEUR_LNC013322)
Source: RNAcentral
AUUUCUUGUGAGAUUUCAUGCCAAAAAUGUGAUUCUAGGGACUUUCUAAUUUUGAGAUGAAUUUCCAUACGAAUUUUUUCACCAUUUUUCUCAUGUCUUGCAUUUUUCCCCACUUUUCCAUAACUUCUAUAUGGAAGUUUCAAGUGGUUACUUGGGAGUUAUAAAUUUGAAUUCUAAAUUCAAACCAUUCCCUUCAACCCUUAUAAGAUCCUGCGGGUCGGGUCACCCCACAUGGGUGACCCAUUAUCCUUAUUUUCUAACAUAAAUAGUCUAAAAAACCACCUCAUUUCUUUUCUAUAUUGAAAUAUCUAAUAUUGCAAAAACAAAAAAAAAGUAAAAAAUCCUAAAACUGUUUGCAUAGCAUCAAGGUAUCAAAACAUAAUUUGUUGCAUAUAUUUACUAUUCCAGAAACAACAAAUUUUAGCCUUUGUUUGAUACCCAUUUUUCUCUUUUCUUUUCAUCAAUCCAUUCUUCAAUAAAAUAAUAUUAUAUGAAAAAUUAAAAUAUCUUCUUAUUUCUUAACCACACAUUCUUCAUCAAUUAACAAUUUCAAAAUGCAUUCAUAUUAAAAAAUGGGAAACAAACAAGGGCCUAAAACUGUUUUGUAGUUCAAUAUCAAAAGAAUGAAAAUAUAUUAGUAUUCCUUCAAAGUAACACUUGUCUACUGGAUUUAUCCUUUAGGCUAAUUAUCGCUACAUGCAUAGAGUUCUUAUUUCCAGCUUUUGGCGUUAGAAUAACUGGAAAUGAAUUAUCUUGCCGCCAUGGAAGAAAGGAAAAGCCGCCGAAAAAGCUAUGAGCAAUGAGAUGUUGAGGGUGGUAAAAAAAAAAAAAAUUAUGUUUUAUAAUUGUGGUGUAACAAUAAUUUAUAAAUUAAAAAGUAUAUUAAAAUCCUAAUUAUGUAAUUUUACUUAAGGAUAUUUAAAUAAAUAAGAAAACUAUGGUGAUCUUAAUAAAAAUUUUAAUGGUAAUACACCCAUGUUGUUUAUUGCCUUUUGGGAUUAUUUAUUACUUUCUUUUGUCUUUCUAAAUUUAUUUAAGAGGGUGUUUGAGUCCUAUUUUUAUGAAAAAAUAUAUUUUAAAAAAGUAAGUUUAUGAGAAUUGUGUGGUUGAAAAACAAGGAAUUUUUUUAUUUACGUGUAAUAUUGUUUUAAUGAAAAAUGUGUGAUUGAAAAGAAGAGAGAGAAAAAUGUAUUUUGAGAAAAUGGAAAUAAAAAAGAGCCUAAGUUAGAGUGUUUUUGUAACAUUAAUAGAAAAUUUGGAAGGAAGUCAUCAAUAAGGACCAUAUGGUGCGAAUAAAAAUCAAAAUCGAGGUUAACCGAACUGAAUAGGAUGAAAAAAAUUGAACCAAUGGCACAAUGAGGUGAAUAUGGUAUUUGAUGUUAAUGCCCUGGUUCGCUCUGGCCUGAACCGAUUACCUGUUAAAAAAAAUUAAUUAGGCAAUUGGACUUUUUAUUAAUCUUUCUAUGAUUAUGUCCAACCCAAAAUUUUGGCCCAUUACCAAUCUGCUAAGUCCAACUAACCUAGCCUAACAACCCUAUACCAUACUAUACAAAAUAUUAAACAUAUAUGAAAAUUUUUGUUAAAUUCAAAUGUUGUAUUUGAGAAUUGGGAUAUUGUUAGUUAAAUUGGCUUAAUAUUGUGUUUUUGUUUUCAUUGAUUUUCUUUUUCAUAAAUUGUUUUUUUUUUUUCAAUUUGACGAAUGGACAUAUAAAAAAAAAAAAAAUUUAUUUUCGUUGUUAUUAACUGCCAAAAUUGAGCCGAAUUGAAAUACGAAUCAAGUCGAACUGAACUAAUUUACGCGGUUAUGGUAUGACAAAAAAUUGGUGGUUUGGUGAUGAUUUUGGCCGAAUCGACCCCAACCCUAGAUAUUUACCAGUUAAAAUUUAACGAAAAUGAUUUUCCGACAAAUUGAAAAGCUUGACAAAUCGUAGUGUAAUUUAAGUGUCUGUUCGGUAGUGAUUAUUAGAAUCGAUUUUUUAACUGUUAGAGAGAAAGUGAGUUCCACACGUGAGUAAAGAAGUAAAAAAUGAUAACUGGAAUUGUGAAAUAAUGAUAAAAAAAUUUGAUUUUUUAAGGUGAAAAAUUGCUAUCAAACGGAGGCUAAAUACUAAAAUGACAAAUCCAUUUUGAAUUAAUGUUACUAAUUUAUCAAAUGUAUGCUUUUAAGAAGUCAAAAGUAGC